This 213-nucleotide ribosomal RNA is filed under the name Pseudo-nitzschia fraudulenta. Its description in RNAcentral is "partial Bacterial large subunit ribosomal RNA". It matches the Rfam family "Bacterial large subunit ribosomal RNA", at positions 1099 to 1314 of the family's 2925-position model. The record is from RNAcentral. Lineage: Eukaryota; Bacillariophyta; Bacillariophyceae; Bacillariales; Bacillariaceae.
GGAUGGCUUAGAAGCAGCCAUCCUUUAAAGAAAGCGUAAUAGCUCACUAGUCGAGUCGGCCUGCGCGGAAGAUGUAACGGGGCUAAGCAAUAUACCGAAGCUGCGGCAGCACGUUUAAGUGCUGGGUAGGGGAGCGUUGUGUAAGUGGAUGAAGGUGAGUUGUAAAGCUUGCUGGACAUAUCACAAGUGCGAAUGCUGACAUGAGUAACGACA